GAUGAACGCUAGCGACAGGCUUAACACAUGCAAGUCGAACGGACUCAUAUUGAAACCUAGUGAAGUAUGAGUUAGUGGCGGACGGGUGAGUAACGCGUGGAAAACCUGCCGUAUACUGGGGGAUAACACUUAGAAAUAGGUGCUAAUACCGCAUAAGCGCACAGCUUCGCAUGAAGCAGUGUGAAAAACUGAGGUGGUAUACGAUGGUUCCGCGUCUGAUUAGCUAGUUGGUGGGGUAAAAGCCUACCAAGGCAACGAUCAGUAGCCGGCCUGAGAGGGUGAACGGCCACAUUGGGACUGAGACACGGCCCAA
RNAcentral lists this ribosomal RNA (313 nucleotides) under uncultured bacterium. Its description in RNAcentral is "bacterial SSU rRNA". It matches the Rfam family "Bacterial small subunit ribosomal RNA", at positions 28 to 334 of the family's 1533-position model. The record is from RNAcentral.